UGCUCCAUGGCUGAGUUGGUUACAGCGUCCGACUGUUACAUCGUCAACCACCUGUGGAGGUGUCAUCGGAAGGUCGAGAGUUCGAGCCUCUCUGGAGCAG
Molecule: non-coding RNA, 100 nt
Organism: Infundibulicybe gibba
Lineage: Eukaryota; Fungi; Basidiomycota; Agaricomycetes; Agaricales; Omphalinaceae
Source: the annotation of a GenBank genome assembly